RNAcentral lists this long non-coding RNA (765 nucleotides) under Oryctolagus cuniculus (rabbit). Its description in RNAcentral is "lncRNA (ENSOCUG00000038178.1)". The record is from RNAcentral. Lineage: Eukaryota; Metazoa; Chordata; Mammalia; Lagomorpha; Leporidae.
GUGGCACCAAGGCCUUGCGCGGCCCAACGCACAAGGGGGGGACGGCGCGGCCCUCGCCCUGGGCCCCGGGUGCCACCAGGUUUUCCCUUGGUCGGGAUUUCUUUUGUGGGCCUAGGCAGGGCAGGCGCCCCAUGCUGUCUCCGCACUGACCUAGGCACCCACCCCACAUGAGGGCACCCACCCACAUGAGGCGUCGGGAGGUGUGGGGCCCGGGAGAACAUUGCUCUGCCUGGUUUCCUAGGCGGAGGCAGGUGUGUUGUCGGCAAAGACCCUCACUCAGGCCAAGUGUGUGAUGUCUCUUCUUCUUCCGCAGACGCCGAGCCCGGCACCCGGGAACCUGUUCCGGACGUGCCGCUCCCAACCAUGACUCCCAGCACCGAGGCUGACCACGACCACGACCACGACCACGACCACGACCACGACGCCGAGCCCGGCACCCGGGAACCUGUUCCGGACGUGCCGCUCCCAACCAUGACUCCCAGCACCGAGGCUGACCACGACCACGACCACGACCACGACCACGACCACGACGCCGAGCCCGGCACCCGGGAACCUGUUCCGGACGUGCCGCUCCCAACCAUGACUCCCAGCACCGAGGCUGACCACGACCAUGACCACGACCACGACCACGACCACGACCACGACCACGACCACGGUAGGGGCCCGUGUGCCUUGUGUCCUCUGCCCCUGGGAGCCCGCUGGGCUGCCGGGGCUCCUUGAGCGAGAAAUGACAUUUCUAUUGGAUCCGGGAACGUAGAGGCGGUG